Molecule: ribosomal RNA, 530 nt
Filed under: marine sediment bacterium ISA-3073
Lineage: Bacteria
Description: bacterial SSU rRNA
Rfam family: Bacterial small subunit ribosomal RNA
Source: RNAcentral
UUGAUCCUGGCUCAGGAUGAACGCUGGCGGCGUGCCUAAUACAUGCAAGUCGAGCGAAUGAUGAGGAGCUUGCUCCUCUGAUUUAGCGGCGGACGGGUGAGUAACACGUGGGUAAUCUGCCUGUAAGACGGGGAUAACUCCGGGAAACCGGGGCUAAUACCGGAUAAUAAGAGAAGAAGCAUUUCUUCUUUUUGAAAGUCGGUUUCGGCUGACACUUACAGAUGAGCCCGCGGCGCAUUAGCUAGUUGGUGAGGUAACGGCUCACCAAGGCGACGAUGCGUAGCCGACCUGAGAGGGUGAUCGGCCACACUGGGACUGAGACACGGCCCAGACUCCUACGGGAGGCAGCAGUAGGGAAUCUUCGGCAAUGGGCGAAAGCCUGACCGAGCAACGCCGCGUGAGCGAUGAAGGCCUUCGGGUCGUAAAGCUCUGUUGUUAGAGAAGAACAAGUACGAGAGUAACUGCUCGUACCUUGACGGUACCUAACCAGAAAGCCACGGCUAACUACGUGCCAGCAGCCGCGGUAAUAC